CCUCUAGUUUUCUCUCUCUAUAUACACAUUAACACAAAAAAACGUGUGGCCUGUUUUUGUAAUCCAGAAAUGAAGAAGGCGUCUAGUCCUUCUACUUUCUAUUUUAUUCUUGCAAAUUUUCUUAUUUUAUCAUGGUGUCUACAAAGUGAAGCCAGGAUCUUGGACUUGGAUUUGUCUUCAAUCAAAUUCAAAGGUAUUGUUCGAGGUCGGAGUAACAGGCAGAUUCCAAUCAAAGUCAAUCCUUCGCCAAUGGCAAACCCUCGUAGUCAUUAUGAUUAUAGUCCACCCCCGAUGAUAAUGUAAUGGGCAAGGAAGCUCUUAUGAAGAACCAAGAUGAAGAUGCCAAUAUGAAUGUGUUUAGAUAGGGGGGUGGGGGUGGGGGGUGGGGUGUUGCGUGUGUGUCUGCGGAGCUAGAGCUUCUUCUGCGAAUUCAAUAUAAUUUAGUUGCUUCAGCUCAAAUUCUAUAUUUUUAUUAAAAUUCAUUAAAUAUGAAUAAAUAAUUUAUCGAGAAUUGAGUAAGCUAUACUU
Lycium ferocissimum is the source of this 528-nucleotide long non-coding RNA. RefSeq lists it as uncharacterized. Lineage: Eukaryota; Viridiplantae; Streptophyta; Magnoliopsida; Solanales; Solanaceae. The record is from RefSeq and is a predicted model, not a curated record. The transcript is spliced from 2 exons.